GAUGAAGAACGUAGCGAAAUGCGAUAAGUAAUGUGAAUUGCAGAAUCCAGUGAAUCAUCGAAUCUUUGAACGCACAUUGCGCCCGCUAGUAUUCUGGCGGGCAUGCCUGUCCGAGCGUCAUUUCAACCCUCAAGCCCCCGGGCUUGGUGUUGGGGAUCGGCGAGCCUCCGCGCCCGCCGUCCCCUAAAUCUAGUGGCGGUCUCGCUGUAGCUUCCUCUGCGUAGUAGCACACCUCGCACUGGGAAACAGCGCGGCCACGCCGUUAAACCCCCAACUUCUGAACGUUUGACCUCGGAUCAGGUAGGAAUACCCGCUGAACUUAAGCAUAUCAAUAAGCGGAGGA
This 343-nucleotide unclassified non-coding RNA is filed under the name soil metagenome. RNAcentral describes it as "partial contains 5.8S ribosomal RNA, internal transcribed spacer 2, and large subunit ribosomal RNA". The stretch from base 1 to 120 matches the Rfam family "5.8S ribosomal RNA", at positions 35 to 154 of the family's 154-position model. The record is from RNAcentral.